CCCUUAGAUGUUCUGGGCCGCACGCGCGCUACACUGAUCAGUGCAACAAGCAUCCGUCCUUGGCCGACAGGCCCGGGCAAUCUUUGAACGCUGAUCGUGAUGGGGAUAGACUUUUGCAAUUUUUGGUCUUCAACGAGGAAUUCCUAGUAAACGCAAGUCAUCAACUUGCAUUGAUUACGUCCCUGCCCUUUGUACACACCGUCCGUCGCACCUACCGAUUGAAUGGUCCGGUGAAGCCUCCGGAUUGGCGUGCACCCUCGGGUGCUGCCGAGAAGUUGGCUAAACCUUACCAUUUAGAGGAAGGUGAAGUCGUAACA
RNAcentral lists this ribosomal RNA (317 nucleotides) under uncultured eukaryote. RNAcentral describes it as "partial 18S ribosomal RNA". It matches the Rfam family "Eukaryotic small subunit ribosomal RNA", at positions 1470 to 1796 of the family's 1831-position model. The record is from RNAcentral.